This 438-nucleotide ribosomal RNA is filed under the name uncultured bacterium. RNAcentral's name for it is "partial 16S ribosomal RNA". It matches the Rfam family "Bacterial small subunit ribosomal RNA", at positions 339 to 795 of the family's 1533-position model. The record is from RNAcentral.
CUACGGGUGGCUGCAGUGAGGAAUAUUGCACAAUGGGGUGAACCCUGAUGCAGCAACGCCGCGUGGAGGAUGACGCAUUUCGGUGUGUAAACUCCUUUUAUAUGUCAAGAAAAUGACGGUAGCAUAUGAAUAAGCACCGGCUAACUCCGUGCCAGCAGCCGCGGUAAUACGGAGGGGCAAGCGUUACUCGGAAUCACUGGGCGUAAAGGACGCGUAGGCGGGUUGGAAAGUCAGGUGUGAAAUCCUACAGCUUAACUGUAGAACUGCACUUGAAACUUCUAAUCUAGAGUAUGGGAAGGGGAGAUGGAAUUAGUGGUGUAGGGGUAAAAUCCGUAGAUAUCACUAGGAAUACCUAAAGCGAAGGCGAUCUCCUGGAACAUUACUGACGCUAAGGCGUGAAAGCGUGGGGAGCAAACAGGAUUAGAUACCCCCGUAGUC